This 508-nucleotide ribosomal RNA is filed under the name Shigella flexneri. Its description in RNAcentral is "partial 23S ribosomal RNA". It matches the Rfam family "Bacterial large subunit ribosomal RNA", at positions 2319 to 2824 of the family's 2925-position model. Lineage: Bacteria; Pseudomonadati; Pseudomonadota; Gammaproteobacteria; Enterobacterales; Enterobacteriaceae. The record is from RNAcentral.
GGCUAAUCCUGGUCGGACAUCAGGAGGUUAGUGCAAUGGCAUAAGCCAGCUUGACUGCGAGCGUGACGGCGCGAGCAGGUGCGAAAGCAGGUCAUAGUGAUCCGGUGGUUCUGAAUGGAAGGGCCAUCGCUCAACGGAUAAAAGGUACUCCGGGGAUAACAGGCUGAUACCGCCCAAGAGUUCAUAUCGACGGCGGUGUUUGGCACCUCGAUGUCGGCUCAUCACAUCCUGGGGCUGAAGUAGGUCCCAAGGGUAUGGCUGUUCGCCAUUUAAAGUGGUACGCGAGCUGGGUUUAGAACGUCGUGAGACAGUUCGGUCCCUAUCUGCCGUGGGCGCUGGAGAACUGAGGGGGGCUGCUCCUAGUACGAGAGGACCGGAGUGGACGCAUCACUGGUGUUCGGGUUGUCAUGCCAAUGGCACUGCCCGGUAGCUAAAUGCGGAAGAGAUAAGUGCUGAAAGCAUCUAAGCACGAAACUUGCCCCGAGAUGAGUUCUCCCUGACCCUUUAA